CCGAGAAUCAAACCAACAGGGAGCGCCUUUGUAGCGGCGAGUGAACCGGCAAAAAGCUCAGAUUUGAAAGCCUCUUUUGGCAUUGUAUUCUGAAGCCUUGGUCCUGGGACCUGGUGCUUAAGUCUUCUGGAAAGGAGCGCCAUGGAGGGUGAUAGCCCCGUGAAGCACUAACCCCAUUGUAGGAUCUUGGCAUGGAGUCGAGUUGUUUGGGAAUGCAGCUCAAAUGGGUGGUAUGCUCCAUCUAAAGCUAAAAUAUCUGCGAGAGACCGAUAGCGAACAAGUACUGUGAAGGAGAAGAUGAGAAAGAACUUUGAAAAGAGAGUGAAAUAGUACGUGAAAAUUGUUGAAAUGGAAGGAUAGGCCCGCUAACCACGCAGAGUCGUGUUUAGGGGGGAGGGACAAAAGCUGUAUACUUUCAUCGAUUCUUCGGAGUGAUGUCGUUGCGGUGCAUACUCCCCACCUGGGCGCCGAGAUCUAAGAUCGACGCCCUAAAUGGGGGGUCUAUCCACC
Molecule: ribosomal RNA, 510 nt
Filed under: Starmerella floricola
Lineage: Eukaryota; Fungi; Ascomycota; Dipodascomycetes; Dipodascales; Trichomonascaceae
Description: partial 18S ribosomal RNA
Rfam family: Eukaryotic large subunit ribosomal RNA
Source: RNAcentral